UGACGUAGGGUGCAAGCGUUAAUCGGAAUUACUGGGCGUAAAGCGUGCGCAGGCGGUUGUGCAAGACAGAUGUGAAAUCCCCGGGCUUAACCUGGGAAUGGCAUUUGGGACUGCAAGGCUUGAGUGCGGCAGAGGAGACUGGAAUUCCUGGUGUAGCAGUGAAAUGCGUAGAUAUCAGGAGGAACACCGAUGGCGAAGGCAAUCCCCUGGACCUGUACUGACGCUCAUGCACGAAAGCGUGGGGAGCAAACAGG
This 254-nucleotide ribosomal RNA is filed under the name uncultured bacterium. RNAcentral's name for it is "partial 16S ribosomal RNA". It matches the Rfam family "Bacterial small subunit ribosomal RNA", at positions 523 to 776 of the family's 1533-position model. The record is from RNAcentral.